RNAcentral lists this unclassified non-coding RNA (266 nucleotides) under uncultured fungus. RNAcentral describes it as "partial contains 5.8S ribosomal RNA, internal transcribed spacer 2, and large subunit ribosomal RNA". Lineage: Eukaryota; Fungi. The record is from RNAcentral.
AACGCACAUGGCGCCCCCCGGCAAUCUGGGGGGCAUGCCUGUCCGAGCGUCGUUUCAACCCUCGGUGCCCCAGUGGCCCGGCGUUGGGGGCCUGCGCCUCGCCGCAGCCCCCUAAAUCCAGUGGCGGUCCGCCGAGGCCACCCUUGCGUAGUAGCCAAAACCUCGCAUCGGUAACCCGGCGGCCACCGGCCUCUAAACCCCCUACGAAGACCGCCCCGCGCGGCAAGGUUGACCUCGGAUCAGGUAGGAAUACCCGCUGAACUUAA